Molecule: unclassified non-coding RNA, 273 nt
Filed under: Glomeraceae sp.
Lineage: Eukaryota; Fungi; Glomeromycota; Glomeromycetes; Glomerales; Glomeraceae
Description: partial internal transcribed spacer 2
Source: RNAcentral
GUGAAUCAUCAAAUCUUUGAACGCAAAUUGCACUCUCCUCGGAGAGUAUGCCUGAUUUAGUUCAGCCUAUAAAAAAUCGCCAUCGUUGCUUUUUCGCGUUGGCAUUCGUCGGUAAUUGGGUCAUCUUAAAUCUUUUGGUUUUAAGUGACUUAAAAUCUUCUUUUUGGUUCCAUGAACGCUUCUAAGAUUUAUUUCUUUACACGUUUAAGGUAUCGAUUUUUAUUAGACGUGACCAUCAUAUCUGAUCCCGCCCAUAAACUGUCAUUAACUGAC